RNAcentral lists this ribosomal RNA (1647 nucleotides) under Triticum aestivum (bread wheat). RNAcentral's name for it is "partial small subunit ribosomal RNA". Lineage: Eukaryota; Viridiplantae; Streptophyta; Magnoliopsida; Poales; Poaceae. The record is from RNAcentral.
AUGGCGCUGACGCUGCGGUCCUCGACGUCCUUCCUCGCGCCGCUCGACCCUUGCUCCAAGCUCCUUCACAGGCCCGAGGACGCGCCGCCCUCCUCCGUCGCCGUCCCGCAGGCGCCCGCCCGGCUCCGCGCCCUCAGGGCGGCCGCGCAGGCCCCGCCGGCGCCGAUGGAGGCUCCCGCUCCGAUCCCGGCCGAGCUGCUGCACGGCCAGGUCCAGCAGGCGAACGCGGGCGGCGGCCGGCCGAGCAGGGGCGGGGUGCCGGUGUUCGUGAUGCUGCCGCUUGACACGGUGGGCCCCCGGGGCCAGGUGUCGCGCGCGCGGGCGCUGGCGGUGAGUCUGAUGGCGCUGCGGAGCGCCGGGGUGGAGGGCGUCAUGGUGGACGUGUGGUGGGGCGUGGUGGAGCGCGACGGCCCCGGGCGCUACGACUGGGAGGGCUACGCCGAGCUGGUGCGCAUGGUGGAGCGCGCCGGCCUACGGCUCCAGAUGGUCAUGUCCUUCCAUCAGUGCGGCGGCAACGUCGGUGACUCCUGCAACAUCCCGUUGCCGCCAUGGGUUCUGGAGGAGGUGAGCGCCGACCCGGACAUCGUGUACACGGACAGGUCCGGCCGCCGCAACCCCGAGUACAUCUCCCUCGGCUGCGACACACUGCCGGUGCUCAAGGGCCGGACCCCCGUCCAGGUCUACUCCGACUACAUGCGCAGCUUCCGCGACAGGUUCGCCGGCUACCUCGGCACCGUCAUCGCCGAGGUCCAGGUUGGCCUGGGCCCCUGCGGCGAGCUGAGGUAUCCUUCCUACCCGGAGGCCAACGGGACGUGGAGUUUCCCGGGCAUCGGCGAGUUCCAGUGCUACGACAAGUACAUGCGGGCGUCGCUGCAGGCGGCGGCCGUGGCGGCGGGGCACGAGAACUGGGGGACAAGUGGGCCGCACGACGCUGGUGAAUACAAGCAGUUUCCGGAGGAGACGGGCUUCUUCCGCCGGGACGGCACGUGGAGCACCGAGUACGGCCACUUCUUCCUCAGGUGGUACUCCGGGAUGCUCCUGGAGCACGGCGACCGCGUGCUGGCCGCUGCCGAGGCCAUCUUCGGCGGCACUGGCGUCACGCUGUCUGCCAAGGUCGCCGGCAUCCACUGGCACUACCGGACCCGCUCCCACGCCGCCGAGCUCACCGCGGGGUACUACAACACGCGGCACCACGACGGGUACGAGCCCAUCGCGCAGAUGCUGGCCAGGCACGGCACCGUGCUCAACUUCACGUGCAUGGAGAUGAAGGACGAGCAGCAGCCCGGCCACGCCGGCUGCUCGCCGGAGCUCCUGGUGCAGCAGGUCAGGGCCGCGGCGCGGGCGGCGCGCGUGGAGCUCGCUGGCGAGAACGCGCUGGAGCGGUACGACGAGCAGGCGUUCGCGCAGGUGGCCGCCACCGCCGAGGCCGCCGGGCUGAGCGCGUUCACGUACCUGCGCAUGAACCGGAACCUGUUCGAGGGCGACAACUGGCGGCGGUUCGUCGCGUUCGUGAAGACCAUGGCCGACGGCGGCGCGAGGACGGCGCUGCCGAGGUGCGACACCGGGCAAUCGGAUCUGUACGUGGGGUUCGUUGACGCCGCCAAGGAGCAGAGGGCGCCGGAGUCCGAGGCCGCCGCGGCAUUGUAG